GUGGGGAAUUUUGGACAAUGGGCGCAAGCCUGAUCCAGCAAUGCCGCGUGCAGGAAGAAGGCCUUCGGGUUGUAAACUGCUUUUGUACGGAACGAAACGGUCCGGGUUAAUACCCUGGGCUAAUGACGGUACCGUAAGAAUAAGCACCGGCUAACUACGUGCCAGCAGCCGCGGUAAUACGUAGGGUGCAAGCGUUAAUCGGAAUUACUGGGCGUAAAGCGUGCGCAGGCGGUUUUGUAAGACAGGCGUGAAAUCCCCGGGCUCAACCUGGGAAUUGCGCUUGUGACUGGAAGGCUGGAGUGCGGCAGAGGGGGAUGGAAUUCCGCGUGUAGCAGUGAAAUGCGUAGAUAUGCGGAGGAACACCGAUGGCGAAGGCAAUCCCCUGGGCCUGCACUGACGCUCAUGCACGAAAGCGUGGGGAGCAAACAGGAUUAGAAACCCGAGUAGUCC
RNAcentral lists this ribosomal RNA (450 nucleotides) under uncultured bacterium. RNAcentral describes it as "partial 16S ribosomal RNA". It matches the Rfam family "Bacterial small subunit ribosomal RNA", at positions 354 to 796 of the family's 1533-position model. The record is from RNAcentral.